GUUCUCUUAGCUUAACGGUAGAGCUGUGUUCUUCUAAAACAUUGAUUUAGGUUCGAAUCCUAAAGAGAACU
Molecule: non-coding RNA, 71 nt
Organism: Tulasnella sp. 417
Lineage: Eukaryota; Fungi; Basidiomycota; Agaricomycetes; Cantharellales; Tulasnellaceae
Source: the annotation of a GenBank genome assembly